Molecule: ribosomal RNA, 400 nt
Filed under: uncultured bacterium
Lineage: Bacteria
Description: bacterial SSU rRNA
Rfam family: Bacterial small subunit ribosomal RNA
Source: RNAcentral
GAACGCUCGUAGCAAUACGGGAGUGGCAGACGGGAGAGUAACACGUGGGAACGUGCCCUUCAGUUCGGAACAACCCCAGGGAAACUUGGGCUAAUACCGGAUACGUCCGUAAGGAGAAAGAUUUAUCGCUGAAGGAUCGGCCCGCGUCUGAUUAGCUAGUUGGUGGGGUAAUGGCCCACCAAGGCGACGAUCAGUAGCUGGUCUGAGAGGAAGACCAGCCUCACUGGGACUGAGACACGGCCCAGACUCCUACGGGAGGCAGCAGUGGGGAAUCUUGGACAAUGGGCGCAAGCCUGAUCCAGCCAUGCCGCGUGGGUGAUGAAGGCCCUAGGGUUGUAAAGCCCUUUCGGCGGGGAAGAUAAUGACGGUACCCGCAGAAGAAGCCCCGGCUAACUUCGUG